This 343-nucleotide ribosomal RNA is filed under the name uncultured Latescibacterota bacterium. Its description in RNAcentral is "bacterial SSU rRNA". It matches the Rfam family "Bacterial small subunit ribosomal RNA", at positions 29 to 351 of the family's 1533-position model. Lineage: Bacteria; Pseudomonadati; Candidatus Latescibacterota. The record is from RNAcentral.
AACGAACGCUGGCGGCGUGGAUUAGGCAUGCAAGUCGAACGAGAACGGGACUCUUCGGAGUCCCUAGUAGAGUGGCGAACGGGUGAGUAACGCGUGGGUAACCUACCCUCGAAUCUGGAAUAACGUUCCCAACGGAGCGCUAAUACCGGAUAACACUCCCGCGGCAUAUGUCGUGGGAGUCAAAGGUGGCCUCUACAUGUAAGCUGCCGUUUGAGGAUGGGCCCGCGUCCCAUUAGCUAGUUGGUGAGGUAACGGCCCACCAAGGCUAUGAUGGGUAGGCGGCCUGAGAGGGUGUACGCCCACACUGGGACUGAGAUACGGCCCAGACUCCUACGGGAGGCAG